AGAGUUUGAUCCUGGCUCAGAAUCAACGCUGGCGGCGUGCCUCAGACAUGCAAGUCGAACGCGAAAGUUUCCUUCGGGAAACAAGUAGAGUGGCGCACGGGUGAGUAACACGUAGGUAAUCUACCUUCGGAUGGGGAAUAACAAUCGGAAACGGUUGCUAAUACCGCAUAAUGCAGCGGCACCUAAUGGUGACAGUUGUUAAAGCGGGGGAUCGCAAGACCCCGCGUCUGAAGAGGAGCCUGCGGCGGAUUAGCUUGUUGGUAAGGUAACGGCUUACCAAGGCGACGAUCCGUAGCCGGCCUGAGAGGGCGGUCGGCCACACUGACACUGACAUACGGGUCAGACUCCUACGGGAGGCAGCAGUCGGGAAUUUUGGGCAAUGGGCGAAAGCCUGACCCAGCAACGCCGCGUGAAGGAUGAAAUCCCUCGGGAUGUAAACUUCGCAAGAACGGGAAGAAUAAGUAGGGGACAAUACCCCCUAUGAUGACGGUACCGUUUGUAAGCUCCGGCUAACUCCGUGCCAGCAGCCGCGGUAAUACGGGGGGAGCAAGCGUUGUUCGGAUUUACUGGGCGUAAAGGGCGCGUAGGCGGCCAGCACAAGUCAGUUGUGAAAUCUCCGGGCUUAACUCGGAAAGGUCAACUGAUACUGUGCGGCUAGAGUGCGGAAGGGGCAACUGGAAUUCUUGGUGUAGCGGUGAAAUGCGUAGAUAUCAAGAGGAACACCUGCGGCGAAGGCGGGUUGCUGGGCCGACACUGACGCUGAGGCGCGAAAGCCAGGGGAGCGAACGGGAUUAGAUACCCCGGUAGUCC
RNAcentral lists this ribosomal RNA (810 nucleotides) under uncultured bacterium. Its description in RNAcentral is "bacterial SSU rRNA". It matches the Rfam family "Bacterial small subunit ribosomal RNA", at positions 8 to 796 of the family's 1533-position model. The record is from RNAcentral.